RNAcentral lists this ribosomal RNA (445 nucleotides) under uncultured bacterium. RNAcentral describes it as "bacterial SSU rRNA". It matches the Rfam family "Bacterial small subunit ribosomal RNA", at positions 330 to 792 of the family's 1533-position model. The record is from RNAcentral.
ACCAGACUCCUACGGGAGGCAGCAGUGGGGGAUAUUGCACAAUGGGGGGAACCCUGAUGCAGCGACGCCGCGUGGGUGAAGAAGCGCCUCGGCGCGUAAAGCCCUGUCAGCAGGGAAGAAAAUGACGGUACCUGAAGAAGAAGCCCCGGCUAACUACGUGCCAGCAGCCGCGGUAAUACGUAGGGGGCAAGCGUUAUCCGGAUUUACUGGGUGUAAAGGGGGCGCAGACGGCGAGGCAAGCCAGGAGUGAAAGCCCGGGGCCCAACGCCGGGACUGCUCUUGGAACUGCGUGGCUGGAGUGCAGGAGGGGCAGGCGGAAUUCCUGGUGUAGCGGUGAAAUGCGUAGAUAUCAGGAGGAACACCGGUGGCGAAGGCGGCCUGCUGGACUGCAACUGACGUUGAGGCCCGAAAGCGUGGGGAGCAAACAGGAUUAGAUACCCGCGUA